CUACGGGGCGCAGCAGUGGGGAAUAUUGCACAAUGGGCGCAAGCCUGAUGCAGCCAUGCCGCGUGUAUGAAGAAGGCCUUCGGGUUGUAAAGUACUUUCAGCGGGGAGGAAGGGAGUAAAGUUAAUACCUUUGCUCAUUGACGUUACCCGCAGAAGAAGCACCGGCUAACUCCGUGCCAGCAGCCGCGGUAAUACGGAGGGUGCAAGCGUUAAUGCGGAAUUACUGGGCGUAAAGCGCACGCAGGCGGUUUGUUAAGUCAGAUGUGAAAUCCCCGGGCUCAACCUGGGAACGGCAUCUGAUACUGGCAAGCUUGAGUCUCGUAGAGGGGGGUAGAAUUCCAGGUGUAGCGGUGAAAUGCGUAGAGAUCUGGAGGAAUACCGGUGGCGAAGGCGGCCCCCUGGACGAAGACUGACGCUCAGGUGCGAAAGCGUGGGGAGCAAACAGGAUUAGAUACCCCUGUAGUC
This 465-nucleotide ribosomal RNA is filed under the name uncultured bacterium. RNAcentral describes it as "partial 16S ribosomal RNA". It matches the Rfam family "Bacterial small subunit ribosomal RNA", at positions 339 to 795 of the family's 1533-position model. The record is from RNAcentral.